RNAcentral lists this long non-coding RNA (1158 nucleotides) under Zea mays. Its description in RNAcentral is "long non-coding RNA (ZMAY_LNC004843)". Lineage: Eukaryota; Viridiplantae; Streptophyta; Magnoliopsida; Poales; Poaceae. The record is from RNAcentral.
CUGGGACUUGAGAUUCCAGGUACCAGGAUGAUCUUCAGGUGACUCGUAACCUCGCGCUAGUCGUAGCAACACAAACAAGCAUGGUAUAGACAAAAUUAACAUAACACCAAACAUAAGAAUAAACUGUGUAUUAAUAUUCUACGCUGUAUAACGAGAUCGUGAGUACAAGAAUUACUAAAUUCGGAGUUACGGGUACCAAGUUAUGAAUUUCUGGAAUUAUUAGGUACUUGGAAUAGCAUAACUCAUGUGGAUAAUUUUAGUUCAAGUUUCAUGGCUAAACAAUGUUAUGGUUGGUAGAAAAUACUAAUACAAAAUUAAUGUCACUGGAAUGGACCCAAAAGGGUUUAAUAUGAAUUUUCUAUGAAUUUUACAAGUUUCUAGAAUUAUUUUUGUAUUAAAAAUCAUUUUCUACAAUUAAUUUCCUAUUUUUACUGUUCUCUGGACUGGGCGUCAAAAACAGAGGAACGCAGGGGCUCUAGCGUAAGUUUUCUAAGACUCAGAGAAUAGUGCAAUUGGACGGCGGGUUAAUUCAUCGAAAUCCGAGGGGCUCGUUUAGAAAAUGACCACGGCAAAGGGGUAAGAUGGAAUCUGAGCCGCCCGAUCCAGAACCGAGGACCCAGAUUAAAAGCCCGCUACGACGAACCGGUACGUAUUGUGUGCCGUUCGAUCAGGGACCAACGCCCAGGAUUUAAAUAGCCGAGAGAGAAUCUCGUACAUCCGAUCAGAUCCAACGGUCAGACUCUGACACAUGAAGGGGGUACGCGAAGCACGAUCACAUCCAUCCAUAGCCGAAUCAACGGUCCACCCAUCGCCUCCUUCCUCCGCCAAAAACCGAGCACGGCGGCGGCGUCGGUCAGCCCGCACGGUGGCGCAUCAACGGCGCACACCCAAAUCCAAGCCUCUGAUGCACGAGUUCCUAAGGCAACGAGCUCUAUGCGUAGCAGGGACAAGAGUGAACGUUGAAGAGGGUUACUUACCCAGAUUAAUGAAGCGAAGCCGGUCGACCACAGCCGGGGCGGAUACGCGGCUCCGGCUGCCGAGCUCCACAGAUGGCAAGGCCAGGCGCAUGCGGCCAUAGAGCACGCGGGGGCACCUUGCACUUGGGUUCGAGAGAGUACACAGGGAAGGUUGGAGGCUCGCCCAUGGAGGGAGCCCCGC